CCCGAAAUAGCUUUAGGGCUAGCCUCAAGGUGAGAGAUACGGAGGUAGAGCACUGAAUGUCCUAGGGGGUAUUGCACCUACCGAAGACUAUCAAACUCCGAAUGCCGUCAUCUUAUACUUGGGAGUCAGACUGUGGGUGAUAAGAUUCAUAGUCGAAAGGGCAACAGCCCAGAUCGUCAGCUAAGGUCCCUAAAUGUAAGUUAAGUGGUAAAGGAUGUGGGAUUGCACAGACAACCAGGAUGUUGGCUUAGAAGCAGCCACUCAUUCAAAGAGUGCGUAAUAGCUCACUGGUCGAGUGAUCCUGCGCCGAAGAUUUCCGGGGCUAAAACUUACUACCGAAGCUACGGCAUCAGUAAUGAUGGGUAGGGGAGCUUCCCAUACGGGUUGAAGCAUGACCGUAAGGACAUGUGGACAGUAUGGGAGUGAGAAUGUUGGCAUGAGUAGCGAGAUGUGGGUGAGAAUCCCACAGGCCGUAAACCCAAGGUUUCCAGGGGAAGGUUCGUCCGCCCUGGGUUAGUCGGGACCUAAGCUGAGGCCGAAAGGCGUAGGUGAUGGACAACAGGUUGAUAUUCCUGUACUACCGAUAACCGUUUGAGAGAAGGGAUGACACAGUAGGAUAAGCUAAGCACACUGUUGGUUAUGUGUGCCCAAGCAUUGAGGCAGUCAAAGUAGGCAAAUCCGCUUUGAUAAUGCUGGGAUGUGAUGGGGAGCGAAAUUUAGUAGCGAAGUAGCUGAUUUCACACUGUCAAGAAAAGUCUCUAUCGAGGUUAAAGGUACCCGUACCGCAAACCGACACAGGUGGGUGAGGAGAGUAUCCUAAGGCCAGCGAGAGAACUGUUGUUAAGGAACUCGGCAAAAUGACCCCGUAACUUAGGGAUAAGGGGUGCCACCAUCAGGUGGCCGCAGAGAAUAGGCCCAAGCGACUGUUUACCAAAAACAUAGGUUUCUGCUAAGUCGCAAGACGAUGUAUAGGAGCUGACGCCUGCCCGGUGCUGGAAGGUUAAGGGGAUCUGUUAGAGCAAUCGAAGCAGUGAACUUAAGCCCCAGUAAACGGCGGCCGUAACUAUAACGGUCCUAAGGUAGCGAAAUUCCUUGUCGGGUAAGUUCCGACCCGCACGAAAGGCGUAACGAUUUGGGCACUGUCUCAACAACAGACUCGGUGAAAUUGUAAUUCCGGUGAAGAUGCCGGAUACCUGCGACAGGACGGAAAGACCCCAUGGAGCUUUACUGUAGCUUGACAUUGGGUCUUGGUACUACAUGUACAGGAUAGGUGGGAGGCUUUGAAACCAGGACGCCAGUUUUGGCGGAGCCAUCCUUGGGAUACCACCCUUGUAGUACUGGGACUCUAACCAUAGGCCAUGAAUCUGGUCUUGGGACACUGUCGGGUGGGCAGUUUGACUGGGGCGGUCGCCUCCCAAAAGGUAACGGAGGCGCUCAAAGGUUCUCUCAGUACGGUCGGAAAUCGUACGUAGAGUGUAAAGGCAAAAGAGAGCUUGAUUGCAAGACAUACAGGUCGAGCAAGGAUGAAAAUCGGACUUAGUGAUCCGGUGGUUCUGCGUGGAAGGGCCAUCGCUCAACGGAUAAAAGCUACCCUGGGGAUAACAGGCUUAUCUCCCCCAAGAGUCCACAUCGACGGGGAGGUUUGGCACCUCGAUGUCGGCUCAUCACAUCCUGGGGCUGUAGUAGGUCCCAAGGGUUGGGCUGUUCGCCCAUUAAAGUGGUACGCGAGCUGGGUUCAGAACGUCGUGAGACAGUUCGGUCCCUAUCCGUCGCAGGCGUAGGAAAUUUGAGAAGACCUGUCCUUAGUACGAGAGGACCGGGAUGGACGUACCUCUGGUGUACCAGUUGUUCUGCCAAGGGCAUGGCUGGGUAGCUAUGUACGGAAUGGAUAAGCGCUGAAAGCAUCUAAGCGCGAAGCCAACUUCAAGAUAAGAUUUCCCACCGCAAGGGUAAGACCCCAGAAAGACUAUCUGGUUGAUAGGUCGAAGGUGUAAGUGCAGCAAUGUAUUUAGCUUAUCGAUACUAAUAGGUCGAGGACUUGACCAA
RNAcentral lists this ribosomal RNA (2046 nucleotides) under Clostridioides difficile DA00244. Its description in RNAcentral is "bacterial LSU rRNA". It matches the Rfam family "Bacterial large subunit ribosomal RNA", at positions 858 to 2925 of the family's 2925-position model. The record is from RNAcentral. Lineage: Bacteria; Bacillati; Bacillota; Clostridia; Peptostreptococcales; Peptostreptococcaceae.